This is a regulatory RNA element of Phenylobacterium sp. Root1277, 158 nucleotides long. It matches the Rfam family "FMN riboswitch aptamer (RFN element)". From Rfam's summary of the family: The RFN element is a highly conserved domain that is found frequently in the 5'-untranslated regions of prokaryotic mRNAs that encode for flavin mononucleotide (FMN) biosynthesis and transport proteins. This element is a metabolite-dependent riboswitch that directly binds FMN in the absence of proteins. The record is from Rfam. Lineage: Bacteria; Pseudomonadati; Pseudomonadota; Alphaproteobacteria; Caulobacterales; Caulobacteraceae.
CCGCGUUCUCAGGGCGGGGUGAAAGUCCCCACCGGCGGUGAUGGCGGCCCUUGGGCCGCAUAAGCCCGCGGGCGCCUGGUGGUCGAUAGACCGGCAGGGACAGCAGAUCCGGUGUGAAUCCGGGGCCGACGGUUAGAGUCCGGUUAUGAGAACCGCUG